CCGGCGCGGCGCGCGCGGCGGCUGCAGGGGGACGUGAGGCCCGUGAGGUCGAUCCCAGGGAUGAGGCGUCUCACAGAGGCUGCGAGGGGCUCACAGCAACAGCCAGCUCCGUGCUUGUCUGGAUGCUCUGGUCAUGUCACUGGUCACCACAGAGAAAUUUUAUGAUUCCCACCCCUAUUUUCCUUCUGGAGCUUUCAGUGAGCAGCCUUGCUCUGCACAGCUGAAGAGGGCAGGGAAUGCCAGUGGAGGGCUCCAGGACCCCUGACUGGGAAGAGAUUAGCAAGACCUACUGGGAUAGGAGACUGGAAGUGAGAGGAAGAAUGACAAAUCUGAGAUUCCAGGGUCUCCAGCCUCUCUGAAAAACAAGGGGCACACGGCAGAGUACUUUAAAAUGGCUGAUACUUCUCCACAUAGACCUACUGCCCUCCCGUGGCUGCCAAGGAGCAUCUCUAAAGCAGAAACUGAGAUCAGGGACUGAGGGAAACAACAAAGAAAAAUAACUCUAUAUUCAAACCAAAACCCAGUUUGAGUUACAAGGAAGAGGAAAGCAAACACAGUGGGAUUAACUGGAAGUACCUAUGAAGGCAAGAACAAAGAGCCUGAAGUCAGGAUGAAUGAGACCAUGAGUAUCAAGUUAAAGCUGUGUGCUUCUGCAA
This is a long non-coding RNA of Vidua chalybeata, 656 nucleotides long. RefSeq lists it as uncharacterized. The transcript is spliced from 5 exons. Lineage: Eukaryota; Metazoa; Chordata; Aves; Passeriformes; Viduidae. The record is from RefSeq and is a predicted model, not a curated record.